UUGAUUUCGCUGACGAUUUGCGGAAUGACCUUGGUGACUAGCGAUGCGUUUGUCAGCGUGGUUGCGGCGGGUAGCGCGAGAAGUAUGCGAACCGAAUGACGACAUUGUCUGCAACAGACAUCGCCACAGGAUUCAGACGCAACACACUCAAAUCUCGCCAUAUAGCGUUUAACAAGUAUACUUAUAAAGCUCAGGAACACGUUCACAUAUAAGCAUAUAAUCACAUAGGCACACAAAUCACAUAGGCACAUAAGCACAUAGCACAGAAGCACAUAAGCACGUAGAACAUAGAAACACAUAUUCAACUAUAUUUUGCACGUAUUCACCUACAUAUAUUGCACGUAUUCACCUAUCAUUCUAGUUCGUGAAGCGCGUUCAAGAAUAGCGAGAGCGAGAAGCGAGUAACAUAAGCGAGAGACAUAGCACGCGAUUGGUUAGCGUUUUGAGAUAAUUGUGCAGUGCGAGUUGUGUGUGUUUAUUAAAGCGAGGAACGAAAAGCGUGUAGUCUCCCAAAUCAAAACAUAAACAUAUAAAAACUGUAGGAUCGUAUGCUGACCCGAACGAGUCUAUCAGAGGAGUGCGGAAAACAAGUAACUGAAGUAGAAACAGCUAGCACUUCACUUAAAUCACACUUUUGAUUGAUAUUACAGCGUUUACAAUCCAAUGGAAAACCGGCAGCACCUCGGUAUCCGUAAACAAGAACUCGUACAACUGAUUUCGUUCAUAGGCUAUAUAUAGAGCCUUGAUUUCGCUCAUAAUGACAUGGUACCCAUUUGGAGCGAAAUCAACAUGCUGAUUUCCCACCAAAUGACUAAACUCUGAUUUCCCA
RNAcentral lists this long non-coding RNA (829 nucleotides) under Helianthus annuus (common sunflower). The record is from RNAcentral. Lineage: Eukaryota; Viridiplantae; Streptophyta; Magnoliopsida; Asterales; Asteraceae.